UACGUAGGGUGCGAGCGUUGUCCGGAAUUAUUGGGCGUAAAGAGCUCGUAGGCGGUUUGUCGCGUCUGCUGUGAAAAUUCGGGGCUUAACUCCGGGCCUGCAGUGGGUACGGGCAGACUAGAGUGCGGUAGGGGAGACUGGAAUUCCUGGUGUAGCGGUGAAAUGCGCAGAUAUCAGGAGGAACACCGGUGGCGAAGGCGGGUCUCUGGGCCGUAACUGACGCUGAGGAGCGAAAGCGUGGGGAGCGAACAGG
Molecule: ribosomal RNA, 253 nt
Filed under: uncultured bacterium
Lineage: Bacteria
Description: partial 16S ribosomal RNA
Rfam family: Bacterial small subunit ribosomal RNA
Source: RNAcentral